UGGUAAAAAAUCUGACCUGCUCUAUGUAAAUGGCCGCGGUAUUUUGACCGUGCUAAGGUAGCAUAAUCAUUAGUUUUUUGAUUGGGGACUUGUAUGAAUGGUUGGACAAAGGAAUAACUGUCUUACAAGGUUGAAUUUUUUGUUUGGUGUGAGAAAACAUGAGGGAAGAAAAGACCCUAUUAAGUUUUAUUAUUUUGCUGGGGCGGUAAUGAUGGUAAGAAGAUUAAAUUACUGUAGGGAUAACAGCGUGAAAUAUUUGGAGAGUUCUUAUUGAUAAAUAGUUUUGCGACCUCGAUGUUGAAUUAAGUUUGUUUGGUGUAGGACUUUUAAAGACUUACA
This 339-nucleotide ribosomal RNA is filed under the name Sarax yayukae. Its description in RNAcentral is "partial large subunit ribosomal RNA". It matches the Rfam family "Archaeal large subunit ribosomal RNA", at positions 1933 to 2669 of the family's 2987-position model. The record is from RNAcentral. Lineage: Eukaryota; Metazoa; Arthropoda; Arachnida; Amblypygi; Charinidae.